RNAcentral lists this ribosomal RNA (735 nucleotides) under Brevibacterium sp. RNAcentral's name for it is "bacterial SSU rRNA". It matches the Rfam family "Bacterial small subunit ribosomal RNA", at positions 26 to 773 of the family's 1533-position model. The record is from RNAcentral. Lineage: Bacteria; Bacillati; Actinomycetota; Actinomycetes; Micrococcales; Brevibacteriaceae.
GGAUCUACUCUUUACGGGUUCUCAAAAAUGCCAGUCGAUCGCUGAAGCCUGGUGCUUGCACGGGUGGAUGAGUGGCGAACGGGUGAGUAACACGUGAGUAACCUGCCCCUGACUUCGGGAUAAGCCCGGGAAACUGGGUCUAAUACCGGAUACGACUGCCGGACGCAUGUCUGGUGGUGGAAAGUUUUUUCGGUUGGGGAUGGGCUCGCGGCCUAUCAGUUUGUUGGUGAGGUAAUGGCUCACCAAGACGACGACGGGUAGCCGGCCUGAGAGGGCGACCGGCCACACUGGGACUGAGACACGGCCCAGACUCCUACGGGAGGCAGCAGUGGGGAAUAUUGCACAAUGGGGGAAACCCUGAUGCAGCGACGCAGCGUGCGGGAUGACGGCCUUCGGGUUGUAAACCGCUUUCAGCAGGGAAGAAGCGCAAGUGACGGUACCUGCAGAAGAAGUACCGGCUAACUACGUGCCAGCAGCCGCGGUAAUACGUAGGGUACGAGCGUGGUCCGGAAUUAUUGGGCGUAAAGAGCUCGUAGGUGGUUGGUCACCUCUGCUGUGGAAACGCAACGCUUAACGUUGCGCGUGCAGUGGGUACGGGCUGACUAUAGUGCAGUAGGGGAGUCUGGAAUUCCUGGUGUAGCGGUGAAAUGCGCAGAUAUCAGGAGGAACACCCGUGGCUAAGGGGGGACUCUGGGCUGUAAUUUAUACUAAGGAUCCAAAUCAUGGGGAGCGAAC